GAUGAACGCUGGCGGCGUGCCUAAUACAUGCAAGUCGAGCGAACGGACGAUAAUCUUUCUUCUCUGAUGUUAGCGGCGGACGGGUGAGUAACACGUGGCUAACCUACCUAUAAGACUGGGAUAACUUCGGGAAACCGGAUCUAAUACCGUAUAAUAUUUUGAACCGCAUGGUUCAUUAGUGCAAUACGGUCUUUCUGUCUCUUAUAGAUUGUUCCUCGCUGCAUUAGCUAGUUGGUAAGGUAACGGCUUACCAAGGCAACGAUGAAUAUCCGACCUGAGAGGGUGAGCGGCCACACUGGAACUGAGACACGGAAAAGACUACUACGGGAGGCAGCAGUAGGGAAUAGUACGAAAUGGGCGAAAGCAUGAAGGAGCAAAGCCGCGUGAGAGAAGAAGGACUUAGGAUCGUAAAACUCUGUUAGUAGGGAAGAACAUAUGUGUAAGUAACUGUGCACAGCUUGACGGUAACAAAAAAGAAAGCAACGGCUAACUACGUG
This 497-nucleotide ribosomal RNA is filed under the name uncultured bacterium. RNAcentral describes it as "partial 16S ribosomal RNA". It matches the Rfam family "Bacterial small subunit ribosomal RNA", at positions 28 to 507 of the family's 1533-position model. The record is from RNAcentral.